Molecule: long non-coding RNA, 808 nt
Organism: Oreochromis aureus
Lineage: Eukaryota; Metazoa; Chordata; Actinopteri; Cichliformes; Cichlidae
Source: Ensembl
CAUGAAGGAAGUGCAGGGAGAGUACAUCCUGCAGUUUGGAAAGUAUAAAGGGAAAUCUUUCCAGUGGCUUCUGGAGAAUGAAUGUCGGGUACACCAUGUACCUGAUCAAAGAUCUCCAGAAGCAAGAGGCUGCAGGGACCUCUGUGGAAGAAGGACAUGGCAAGGAGAGCUUGCAUUCAUUUGUACAGUAUGCCCUCAGCUUUACAGAGAUAAAAACUCUUCUGAACUACGAGGCCAGCAGAGUGAGUGUUGGAGCAGAAGCCUGUGAGGAUGAUCAGCUGGUUGGCUUUGGCUCAUGAGCCAAGAGCACCUGGAAGGAGAUUUGGGGUGGCAGAGGUGACGGCUAUGGAGACUUUAUCACGAGGAAGAGCUGCAGUCAAGGAACACGGAUGCAUAAGCUGCAGCAGUACGUGCGGAAGAAGCAGCAGUCUGUGUCUGCUUCCACAAAUGCUCCAACUAAACCCCUGGGGAUGGAUGAGGAUAAAGACCUGGAGGACGCAAUGCUGAGCAUCUCACCUGUAAAACUACACAUGCAGAGCUUCACUGUGCCAGCAGCAGCAGAAGGGUCCACACCCAGAGGAUCUUCAGGAGCAAACACAGGUUUUCAAAUGAAAGGUUUCAGAACUGGAGUAAAAUAGUUUUACAUGAAUUGCUCUCCAAAGCUGAGCCUGAACUUUUAUAUAUUGUCUUGUUCUUGUUUUUGUGUGUUCUGGCCACGUUCCGGCGAUGUUCCUCUAAUAGUAUAGUUGUAUGCUGGCUGUAUGGUGGAAGAAAACAGUAAAUAAGGGAGAAACAGUUGAUAUUGUAC